Molecule: non-coding RNA, 19 nt
Filed under: Arabidopsis thaliana (thale cress)
Lineage: Eukaryota; Viridiplantae; Streptophyta; Magnoliopsida; Brassicales; Brassicaceae
Source: RNAcentral
GCAUAUUUAGACUUGCAGC